GACUUUGGUUGUAAUCUUAUUUUUCUCUUACUUUGUUUGUUGUCAACAGGUGGCCAAGACUCCUGCCAAUCCUAAAUGCAGAAAAGGUAGCCAAGAAGAUUAUUCAUGCUGUCCUCACAGACCAAGUCUACCUUCUACUGCCUAAAAGCAUGUAUUUCAUCACUGCUCUGAAGAACAUCCUGCCCAUGAAGCAGGGCAUUCUGCUGGGUCAGUACCUGGGAGCCUUUAAUCUUAUGGACACGUUCAGGGGACGCUCCAAAAAGCAAGAGUGAGAGAGCUGUCAGUUAGAAGAUGAUUUAAAUGGAGAUAUUAAAACAUUGAAGACAUCUCUGUGAAGUUUCUUCAUAUUUAAUUUGAAAACAUUUAAUUGUACACAGAAAAUGAAUACCAGUUGUGUAAAGGACUACCUUUUAAAUAAAUUAAUGUUCAUUAUUUAGCUUAAUGUUUUGAGUUCCUUGAACAAAAAGUCUGUUGUUAUUGAAGUUAUAUGUCUGAUUUGUUUCUGAUUUAAGCACAAUGUUUUAUAUAAUAAUCUUGUUCUUACUGACAAUAUAUUAUGGUUAAUUUAGUUCCUUAUUCUAUAUCUUAAUUUUUUUUUCUUUGUGUGAACCUGCAUACCCUGAUCUCUUGUCACUUUGCUGCCGUUAUCCCUGACAACGCCUGUUGCUGCUCUGCAAGUAGAAAUGGAUGAGAUUAAUUUAUUUCUUGGAAAAGGUUUGUGAUGUGUUAGAUUUACCUGCAAGGAUUUACAGGAACAAAACCCGACUAUCGCAGUGUGUAUAUACAUACAACAGUGAAAGAUUUUGAGAAAGACUUGGAUGUUUUGGUUUAUUUUUGGGGGGGCUGUCAAAAUUAACUUGUUAAUCCUGCAUUAAUCCUGCAUUAAUUCUUUAAUCUUUUUUUUAGCAAUUAAUUGAACAGAUUCCCAAACUUUUUGGAUAUCAUCAGUUUGUAAUUUCUAUCUCUGUUUCAACUGUUUCUACAGGGGCUAAUCUCCUGUUUCUUACAAAGUUUAUCUCACUCCUGUCCUUCUUCUCUCUUCCCACUCUGUGCUUCUCUGGUGCUGCAGCACAGCAGGCACUCAGACCCCAGGGAGAACCUCAAAAUUAUUUUACUGUUGUUGACAACACAGCAUAGAGAAAUAUCAUUUUACAUAUGACUUCAUGACUGAAGCAACACUCAACUGCUAUAAACAAAUAAAAACAUGAGCAGUGAUAAACACAAAAGCAUCAAAAACAUUAAAAAUGUCACCAUGUUUAGCCUCGUACUGUUGAAUCCUAUUUUCAUCAUUUGGCAGCCCAAAUAAAAAUAUUUAUAACUCA
This is a long non-coding RNA of Poecilia latipinna (sailfin molly), 1322 nucleotides long. RefSeq lists it as uncharacterized. Lineage: Eukaryota; Metazoa; Chordata; Actinopteri; Cyprinodontiformes; Poeciliidae. The record is from RefSeq and is a predicted model, not a curated record. The transcript has 2 exons.